RNAcentral lists this ribosomal RNA (253 nucleotides) under uncultured bacterium. RNAcentral's name for it is "partial 16S ribosomal RNA". It matches the Rfam family "Bacterial small subunit ribosomal RNA", at positions 524 to 776 of the family's 1533-position model. The record is from RNAcentral.
UACGGAGGAUUCAAGCGUUAUCCGGAUUUAUUGGGUUUAAAGGGUGCGUAGGCGGACUGGUAAGUCAGAUGUGAAAGUUUACGGCUCAACCGUGAAAUUGCAGUUGAUACUGUUGGACUUGAGUACACAUGAGGUGGGCGGAAUUUGUGGUGUAGCGGUGAAAUGCUUAGAUAUCACAAAGAACUCCAAUUGCGAAGGCAGCUCACUGGUGUAUAACUGACGCUGAUGCACGAAAGUGUGGGUAGCAAACAGG